ACGCUGGCGGCAGGCCUAACACAUGCAAGUCGAGCGGUAGCAUAGGAGAGCUUGCUCUCUGGGUGACGAGCGGCGGACGGGUGAGUAAUGUCUGGGAAACUGCCUGAUGGAGGGGAUAACUACUGGAAACGGUAGCUAAUACCGCAUGACCUCGCAAGAGCAAAGUGGGGGACCUUCGGGCCUCACGCCAUCGGAUGUGCCCAGAUGGGAUUAGCUAGUAGGUGGGGUAAUGGCUCACCUAGGCGACGAUCCCUAGCUGGUCUGAGAGGAUGACCAGCCACACUGGAACUGAGACACGGUCCAGACUCCUACGGGAGGCAGCAGUGGGGAAUAUUGCACAAUGGGCGCAAGCCUGAUGCAGCCAUGCCGCGUGUGUGAAGAAGGCCUUAGGGUUGUAAAGCACUUUCAGCGAGGAGGAAGGCGUUGCAGUUAAUAGCUGCAGCGAUUGACGUUACUCGCAGAAGAAGCACCGGCUAACUCCGUGCCAGCAGCCGCGGUAAUACGGAGGGUGCAAGCGUUAAUCGGAAUUACUGGGCGUAAAGCGCACGCAGGCGGUUUGUUAAGUCAGAUGUGAAAUCCCCGAGCUUAACUUGGGAACUGCAUUUGAAACUGCCAAGCUAGAGUCUUGUAGAGGGGGGUAGAAUUCCAGGUGUAGCGGUGAAAUGCGUAGAGAUCUGGAGGAAUACCGGUGGCGAAGGCGGCCCCCUGGACAAAGACUGACGCUCAGGUGCGAAAGCGUGGGGAGCAAAC
RNAcentral lists this ribosomal RNA (750 nucleotides) under uncultured bacterium. RNAcentral describes it as "bacterial SSU rRNA". It matches the Rfam family "Bacterial small subunit ribosomal RNA", at positions 33 to 773 of the family's 1533-position model. The record is from RNAcentral.